CAAGAUGGAAGCAGCAGACCUGCUGUAGUGGAUUGGGGAGUCAGCAGGAAGAGAGGUACCACGUGAUUAUUCCAGAUGGUUCUUGGACCUUGACUAAUGCAGGCAUUUGAGGAUCCGGGAGAAAGGGAAUGACCAAGGAAGCAAGGCUCUGGGGAGGUGGAAGGGGUCAGGAUCCAGAUCAGAACAGUUCGGCUCUGAAUAACACGAAGGCGACGCCAUCCCGAGAGAAGAGCGAAGAAGAAGUAGAAAAGAGCCCAGGCUUCGGGUGGAGCGAUCAUGCUCAUGCCCGGGGAGAAAACCUCGGUCCCCUACACUUCUGUGCUCCAAUGAACCCUUCUCCACCCGCACCCCAACGCAGAGGGAACAACAUCCUGAUGGGAGGUGCUUACCUGAGACUCCACCUGGAUCACAAGCAGCGUCUCCUCUGUCUCCAAGGAAAGAGACGCAUUGGGUCGUAGGCCCGCUUGGAGAGCGCUCCCACGCAGCACAUGGAUUUGUAGCUUCCAAGUUGCCCCAGCUUCUCCUGCGUUGCUGUACCGCGGCUGGUGGGCACAGGGAGACGAUCCCUCAGGGAUGUAACUGUCCCUCAGAACAACGGAUUACUUAAAAUAUAACCCCUGGGAAAUUUUACUGGUUACCAAGCACAUUUAGAUGUAGCCUCCAGAAGAACACACACUGGCAACAGGCCGCUGGAGGAGAGGACAGUAUAUAUACAGCCUUGAAGCCCAGCAGCUGGAACACCCGGCCCGCUCAGGACUGACCUCCGCCUCCUUCAUUUUCCCGUUAUCUCCCC
This is a long non-coding RNA of Mustela lutreola (European mink), 793 nucleotides long. RefSeq lists it as uncharacterized. The transcript is spliced from 3 exons. Lineage: Eukaryota; Metazoa; Chordata; Mammalia; Carnivora; Mustelidae. The record is from RefSeq and is a predicted model, not a curated record.